UGGCGAAGGCGACUCUCUGGUCUGUAACUGACGCUGAGGAGCGAAAGCGUGGGGAGCGAACAGGAUUAGAUACCCUGGUAGUCCACGCCGUAAACGAUGAGUGCUAAGUGUUAGGGGGUUUCCGCCCCUUAGUGCUGCAGCUAACGCAUUAAGCACUCCGCCUGGGGAGUACGGUCGCAAGACUGAAACUCAAAGGAAUUGACGGGGGCCCGCACAAGCGGUGGAGCAUGUGGUUUAAUUCGAAGCAACGCGAAGAACCUUACCAGGUCUUGACAUCCUCUGACAAUCCUAGAGAUAGGACGUCCCCUUCGGGGGCAGAGUGACAGGUGGUGCAUGGUUGUCGUCAGCUCGUGUCGUGAGAUGUUGGGUUAAGUCCCGCAACGAGCGCAACCCUUGAUCUUAGUUGCCAGCAUUCAGUUGGGCACUCUAAGGUGACUGCCGGUGACAAACCGGAGGAAGGUGGGGAUGACGUCAAAUCAUCAUGCCCCUUAUGACCUGGGCUACACACGUGCUACAAUGGACAGAACAAAGGGCAGCGAAACCGCGAGGUUAAGCCAAUCCCACAAAUCUGUUCUCAGUUCGGAUCGCAGUCUGCAACUCGACUGCGUGAAGCUGGAAUCGCUAGUAAUCGCGGAUCAGCAUGCCGCGGUGAUACGUUCCCGGGCCUUGUACACACCGCCCGUCACACCACGAGAGUUUGUAACACCCGAAGUCGGUGAGGUAACCUUUUGG
Molecule: ribosomal RNA, 732 nt
Filed under: uncultured Bacillota bacterium
Lineage: Bacteria; Bacillati; Bacillota
Description: bacterial SSU rRNA
Rfam family: Bacterial small subunit ribosomal RNA
Source: RNAcentral